AACAAAUAAGUAAAAAAAUAUAAACAAAACAAUUAUGUCUUCAAGUGAUCUGCAUGAACUUCAAAUGGGCUUGAUCUUUAGUUGAUGUGCAUUUGGGCUGCCCUCUUCACAACUUAGGCUCAUGCAAACAUAUUAACACUUCCAAUUAUGUUCACCUCCUGAAUCUCAUCCAAAAACUUGUUGCUAGUUGAUUGAUCUUCUAAACUUGAAAAACAACAGCUUUGAUGAAUUAAAAUUAAUAAAAUUUACCCCAUCCACGCAUGUAUCAUUUG
RNAcentral lists this long non-coding RNA (272 nucleotides) under Gossypium barbadense (sea-island cotton). RNAcentral describes it as "long non-coding RNA (GBAR_LNC022261)". The record is from RNAcentral. Lineage: Eukaryota; Viridiplantae; Streptophyta; Magnoliopsida; Malvales; Malvaceae.